GCAUAGCAGAUGUCCUCUUUUCUGAUUCGCACAUCACAACACAUGGCCAUGGCCCCUCAAAGUCCUUGACCAUACCCCAAUAUUCUUUGUCCAUGGCCUACUCACAUAUCAUCGCACACUACAAUGACACUGUUAUCAAGUCACGACCACCAACAGCCAACUCAAAGUCUUCUUCCUUGUGCCCAUGCCAAGGGCCUCGCACUGAGGAAGCCAUCAUCCCGUG
RNAcentral lists this long non-coding RNA (223 nucleotides) under Elaeis guineensis (African oil palm). Its description in RNAcentral is "long non-coding RNA (EGUI_LNC080396)". The record is from RNAcentral. Lineage: Eukaryota; Viridiplantae; Streptophyta; Magnoliopsida; Arecales; Arecaceae.